AUCUCCUGGCUUCUGCUCUGAAUUUACACUAACUAGCACUUAAUAGUCAAUGGCCAAAGAAUGGACUUACCCAUUUUUGAGUUCCAGAAAGUGGCAAUAUAUAACCUUUCUGCAGGGAGGGGUAUUUAAUAUGAGUAAACAAAUUACCAUCAGCCCUUACUAUCCUUUUUGAAUUCCAAGGAAAAUAAUAUUGAAAUUUAUCAUAAAGUUUCCCAUAGUGGAAAUGACAUCUUUAAAGGAGAUGAAACUUAUUACACUGAUAUUUAUAAUACGAAAUUUAGGAAGGGAUUCCUGAGUGGCUCAACACUCUGGAGAUGACAAAGUACAGACGACUCGGCUCCUUCUCUUGAUGAACUCACAGUGCAGGAGGAAGAAAGAAACAGAUCACUGACUAUAAUUCAACACACAGAGAGAGAGGCAGAGACACAGGCAGAGGGAGAAGCAGACUCCAUGCAGGGAGCCGGACAUGGGACUCGAUCCUGGGUCUCCAAGAUCAGGCCCUGGGCCAAAGGUGGGGCUAAACUGCUGAGCCACUGGGGCUGCCCCUCCUGGGAAACAUUCUUAAGAUAUGUGCUUCAAUCUCCAACUACCAAUAACACACAAAAGAGCUGGGACACGUCCUUCUUAUAAAGUUUCCAAGAUGAUUGUACCUUCAACCUAGAUGAACACCACAACAUUUCUAUGUUUUGAUCUACUAAAACAAGGAUCUUUAGC
Long non-coding RNA from Canis lupus familiaris (dog), 714 nucleotides. RefSeq lists it as uncharacterized. Lineage: Eukaryota; Metazoa; Chordata; Mammalia; Carnivora; Canidae. The transcript is spliced from 3 exons. The record is from RefSeq and is a predicted model, not a curated record.